This 567-nucleotide ribosomal RNA is filed under the name uncultured Glomeromycotina. RNAcentral describes it as "SSU rRNA". It matches the Rfam family "Eukaryotic small subunit ribosomal RNA", at positions 548 to 1114 of the family's 1831-position model. Lineage: Eukaryota; Fungi; Glomeromycota. The record is from RNAcentral.
UUGGAGGGCAAGUCUGGUGCCAGCAGCCGCGGUAAUUCCAGCUCCAAUAGCGUAUAUUAAAGUUGUUGCAGUUAAAAAGCUCGUAGUUGAACUUCGGGGUCUACCCAUUGGUCAGGCUUAAUUGUCUGCACUGGUGAGAUGGAUCUCUACCUUCUGAGGAACUUUCAUGCCAUUUAUUUGGUGUGAUGGGAAAUCAGGACUGUUACUUUGAAAAAAUUAGAGUGUUUAAAGCAGGCUCACGCUUGAAUACAUUAGCAUGGAAUAAUGAAAUAGGACGUUUUGAUUCUAUUUUGUUGGUUUCUAGGAUCGACGUAAUGAUUAAUAGGGAUAGUUGGGGGCAUUAGUAUUCAAUUGCCAGAGGUGAAAUUCUUGGAUUUAUUGAAGACUAACUACUGCGAAAGCAUUUGCCAAGGAUGUUUUCAUUAAUCAAGAACGAAAGUUAGGGGAUCGCAGACGAUCAGAUACCGUCGUAGUCUUAACCAUAAACUAUGCCGACUAGGGAUCGGAUGAUGUUAAUUUUUUAAUGACUCAUUCGGCGCCUUACGGGAAACCAAAGUGUUUGGGUUC